GCCCAUGUAGCUUAGCGGUAGAGCACCCCCUUGGUAAGGGGGAGGUCACGAGUUCGAUUCUCGUCAUGGGCUCCA
Molecule: transfer RNA, 75 nt
Filed under: Brasilonema bromeliae SPC951
Lineage: Bacteria; Bacillati; Cyanobacteriota; Cyanophyceae; Nostocales; Scytonemataceae
Also listed under: 10 other names
Description: tRNA-Thr
Rfam family: tRNA
About the family: Transfer RNA (tRNA) molecules are approximately 80 nucleotides in length.
Source: RNAcentral